UUUAGCCUCUUUGCUGCCUCAAAUCGGCUCUUGGGGCGGAGCCAGUGAAUGAUCUGGUGCUCUGCUUUAAGCCACGACAGUUAAAGUGCAUUAAUUCUAUAGUGAAGACGAGGCAUAGCCAAACUUGGGUCCUCCAGGUGUUUUGGACUUCAACUCCCCCCAUUCCUAACAGCCUCAGGCUGAGGGGGAAAAGAAAGGGGCCUGAGGCUUUUAGGAAUGGGGGGAGUUGAAGUCCAAAACACCUGGAGGGCCCAGGUUUGCCCAUGCCUGGUGUAGAAGCAUCCCAAGUCACCCACUGCCAGCUCAGCUCUUGUAGAUUCAGGGCUGCGUCUCCCUCCAUUGAGUCCAUCCUUCGGGAAUGUGUCGUCCUCCUUUCCUGCUGCCUUCGACCUUCAUCAAGCAUUAGGAUCUUUCCAAGGGAGCCAUCUCUUCUCAUCAUAUGACUAAAGUCAAACAGUGCCUUUAUUGGUGCAUUUCCCCUGAAGUCUUACUAAUAUUAUUGAAGGCUUUCGUGGUCCUCACAGGCGACAUUGGCAGGGGCGAGAUUUUUUUUUUCUUCCCCGUGUCAGGAGCAACCUGAGUCGCUUCUGGUGUGAGAGAAUUGGCCAUCUGCAAGGACGUUGCCCAGGGGACGCCCAGAUGUUUUGAUGUUUUUACCAUCCUUAUGGGAGGCUUCUCUCAUGUCCCUGCAUGGAGCUGGAGCUGAUAGAGGGAGCUCUCCCCGGGUGGGAUUCGAAUCUGGCAGCCUUCAGGGACCACCAAACGCAGCACUCAAACACAAAUCAAAGAACAUGAAAGGCCCUGCAGACUAACUCAACCAGAGAUGUCAGCCAUUGCAAGGCACUUGAUGAACCAACCUGGACACAGCAUAUUGAGAACACAGAAAUGCUGGACCACUGUAACACUACACAGAGAAGCCAUUGAAAUCCAUAAGCAGGUGGACAAUUUCAACGGAUGCCCAUCAUAGAUGUGGGCGAAACGUCAGGAAAGAAUGCUUCUGGAAUAUGACCAUACAGCCCAGAAAACUCACAGUAACUUACUGAUAUUGUUUGGGCAGACAUUACAUUAUAUCCUUUAACUUCUUUUGCUCAUCCCCCCCCCCCCCCCUUUGAUUUUCAUUUCCUAAGUAAAACACUGGCUUCCUGUACUUCAGCUUCCUUAUACUCCCAUUUCAUGUCUGACUGUGGAUGUACCCAUACUUGCAAUAUAUAUUAUGUCCUUAUCUCUGUCUCAGGUUUAAACAUAAGUUUGCUCUUGGUUGUGACGUGAAAGCUUUGUGGGCCUCACCUACAUUGCCAUAUAAUGGAGUUUGAAACUGCAUCAUAUGGUCAAGGUAGACUCAUUUAAUGCAGUUCAAUACAGCUAAAAUGCAUUAUGAGUCCAGACUGACCAUAUAAUGCAGUAGCAAACUGCAUUAUAUGGCAGUGUAGACAGGGACCCUAGAUACUUGAGUACAUGAAUGUGAUCUUAGAAAAACACAAUUUGUUUCUUGUGGGAAAAAACAAGUUAUAGAAAUGGGUGUAACACGAUUUUUGUUCCUGGGUUAUGUCAUUUCUGAAUUGGUUCUAUCAUAAAAACAUGGAAAAGGUUUAUUAGCACAUUUUGCUAUAGUUUUUCAAUGAAUAUCUCAUUGAGUCUCAACCAAGUCAACAUCGUUUGUGGCAGCCACAAAAAUGAAGUUUCUGGAGUAUAACAACUACUUUCAAAGUAAGUACCACACAAUUAAACGGAUUAAGCCUCCGACCAUUAAUAGCCCCGGCUUGCUGUUGACCUAUGCAGCCCCGAAAGACAGUUGCACCUGUCAAUUAGGGAAAUUUAGGGACGCUAAUUUACAACACCAUAAAAAAAACUGCCAGCAAAACACGAGGAAAGGAGUGAGGAAGUACAGCCACCACUGGACGGUGAAGCAACAGCUCCCCCUGUGGCCGGAAUCGUGAAGCUGGAAAAAUGUUAAAAAUGCCUCUGAGUCUGUCUAAUGUAUGUUGUUUGUCUAUUGGUAUUGAAUGUUUGCCAUAUAUGUGUUCAUUGUAAUCCGCCCUGAGUCCCCUUCGAGGUGAGAAGGGCGGAAUAUAAAUACUGUAAAUAAAUAAAUAAAUAAAUAAAUAAAACUUUCAAACCA
Anolis carolinensis (green anole) is the source of this 2119-nucleotide long non-coding RNA. RefSeq lists it as uncharacterized. The transcript has 2 exons. Lineage: Eukaryota; Metazoa; Chordata; Lepidosauria; Squamata; Anolidae. The record is from RefSeq and is a predicted model, not a curated record.